RNAcentral lists this long non-coding RNA (865 nucleotides) under Linum usitatissimum (flax). Its description in RNAcentral is "long non-coding RNA (LUSI_LNC006988)". The record is from RNAcentral. Lineage: Eukaryota; Viridiplantae; Streptophyta; Magnoliopsida; Malpighiales; Linaceae.
AGAUCCGACACCUUCCCACAACCCAAUAGCCAUGUCUGAGUUACUACCAGUGAAGGUGAAAGUAAGUUUGAUGCUUUAUAUGUAUAGAAACAGAAGCGAAAUAAGUAAUGAUGUAUGAAGGAUUAUCUUACUAUAGGCAUAUGGUUAAACUUUUGCAGAGCUAGGAGAUUCAGUAAAAGGUUUGAUCUGGGCCAGCAAUUAGGUUAAGAAAUUUUAAGGAUAUUCUUUUGUUCUCUUCGAUUAGUUUCAGGGUUUGAUGUUCUUGCCCGCUACGGUGCGAAUCUGGCCAUGGUAUCAUCGGCGGUGGAUGAGCUGUAGAAGGUGGCGAACCUCGUUUCACAACACUAUACAUCUUCGACGGUAGGUUUUGUUCUGAAAGCUCGCAGAUGAACAUAGCGUGAGGGAGAGGAACGUAGCAAAAGAGCAUGAUGUGAGAGGAAUGGCGAAGAAUGGAAAAAGGGAAGAGAAGGGGAAGAGAACAAAAGGCGAUAAGGGCUAACCUGUGGGCUGAAUGAAGGGACGGGGCGCACCACUCGAGAGAACUGGGGAUACCGACGCCAACCGGUGGGAGUUGCGAGUAACAGGCUGGUCAGACACCAACGACCCACAGCUACCGUUGACAGCGCCAAUAUCGAGUAAGUGAAACGCAGAUGUAAUGAAUCUCCACCUCUUCAGGCGAAAACGUGAAACUCGAAACUGAAAGGAUAGAGGGGCACUGUGGAUAGCAAUCAUUCCGUCAACAGUACAAGCUCUGUUGGAGUCUCAUCCAGAAUGAUGAGAUGGGGAGAACAAAUUGAAGGAUAGAGUGGCACAGGAUAGCAGAUCCCUUAAUGAAUAGUGGGGUUGGGUGUAUAUGAACAGUACG